Phrynosoma platyrhinos (Desert horned lizard) is the source of this 71-nucleotide non-coding RNA. NCBI's taxonomy places the organism in Eukaryota, Metazoa, Chordata, Lepidosauria, Squamata, Phrynosomatidae. The record is from the annotation of a GenBank genome assembly.
GCCAGAGUGGUGCUGUGGUUUGAGCGUUGGAUUACGACUCUGGAGACCAAGGUUCGAAUCCCCACUCGGCA